UACGUAGGGUGCGAGCGUUGCCCGGAUUUAUUGGGCGUAAAGGGCGCGUAGGCGGCUCUGCACGUCCGUUGUGAAAUCGCCCGGCUCAACUGGGCGGGGUCAGCGGAUACGGCGGAGCUCGAGCAAGCUAGGGGGCAAUGGAAUUCCCGGUGUAGUGGUGGAAUGCGUAGAUAUCAGGAGGAACACCAAUGGCGAAGGCAGCUCGCUGGAACGGUACUGACGCUGAGGCGCGAAAGCGUGGGGAGCGAACAGG
RNAcentral lists this ribosomal RNA (253 nucleotides) under uncultured bacterium. RNAcentral's name for it is "partial 16S ribosomal RNA". It matches the Rfam family "Bacterial small subunit ribosomal RNA", at positions 524 to 776 of the family's 1533-position model. The record is from RNAcentral.